This 187-nucleotide unclassified non-coding RNA is filed under the name uncultured Cylindrocarpon. Its description in RNAcentral is "sequence contains ITS2". The record is from RNAcentral. Lineage: Eukaryota; Fungi; Ascomycota; Sordariomycetes; Hypocreales; Nectriaceae.
CAACCCUCAAGCCCCCGGGCUUGGUGUUGGGGAUCGGCACAAGGCGCUGGCACCUCCGGGAGCCGCGCGCGCCCGCCGUCCCCCAAAUCCAGUGGCGGUUCGCGCCGUGUGUACCUCAGCGUAGUAGCAACGACUCGCUUCGGGACCCUCCUGCGAACCACGCCGUAAAAACCCCGACUUUUUUUCU